RNAcentral lists this transfer RNA (71 nucleotides) under Cordylochernes scorpioides. RNAcentral describes it as "tRNA-Gly". The record is from RNAcentral. Lineage: Eukaryota; Metazoa; Arthropoda; Arachnida; Pseudoscorpiones; Chernetidae.
UGCAUCGGCUGGGAAUCGAACCUGGGCCGCCCGCGUGGCAGGCGAGCAUUCUACCACUGAACCACCGAUGC